GAUUCUAGUUUACUAGAAGGCGUCGAGCGGCGGUACGGGUGAGUAAUGCUUGGGAAUAUGCCUUUAGGUGGGGGACAACAGUUGGAAACGACUGCUAAUACCGCAUAAUGUCUACGGACCAAAGGAGGGGAUCUUCGGACCUUUCGCCUUUAGAUUAGCCCAAGUGAGAUUAGCUAGAUGGUGGGGUAAUGGCCUACCAUGGCGACGAUCUCUAGCUGGUUUGAGAGGAUGAUCAGCCACACUGGGACUGAGACACGGCCCAGACUCCUACGGGAGGCAGCAGUGGGGAAUAUUGCACAAUGGGCGAAAGCCUGAUGCAGCCAUGCCGCGUGUGUGAAGAAGGCCUUCGGGUUGUAAAGCACUUUCAGUAGGGAGGAAAGGGUAGUCGCUAAUAUCGGCUAUCUGUGACGUUACCUACAGAAGAAGCACCGGCUAACUCCGUGCCAGCAGCCGCGGUAAUACGGAGGGUGCGAGCGUUAAUCGGAAUUACUGGGCGUAAAGCGUGCGUAGGCGGAUUGUUAAGCGAGAUGUGAAAGCCCAGGGCUCAACCUUGGAACUGCAUUUCGAACUGGCUGUCUAGA
Molecule: ribosomal RNA, 581 nt
Filed under: Thalassotalea ponticola
Lineage: Bacteria; Pseudomonadati; Pseudomonadota; Gammaproteobacteria; Alteromonadales; Colwelliaceae
Description: bacterial SSU rRNA
Rfam family: Bacterial small subunit ribosomal RNA
Source: RNAcentral